RNAcentral lists this ribosomal RNA (780 nucleotides) under uncultured bacterium. RNAcentral's name for it is "bacterial SSU rRNA". It matches the Rfam family "Bacterial small subunit ribosomal RNA", at positions 8 to 796 of the family's 1533-position model. The record is from RNAcentral.
AGAGUUUGAUCAUGGCUCAGGACGAACGCUGGCGGCGUGCCUAACACAUGCAAGUCGAGCGAGGUCCAUCCAGUCGCAAGACUGGUGAAGACCUAGCGGCGAACGGGUGAGUAACACGUGAGAAACCUGCCCCGGAGACCGGGAUAACUCGAGGAAACUCGAGCUAAUACCGGAUACCCCCAUUCCAUCGCAUGUUGGAAUGAGGAAAUGCUCCGACGCUCCGGGAGGGUCUCGCGGCCUAUCAGGUAGUUGGUGAGGUAACGGCUCACCAAGCCGAAGACGGGUAGCUGGUCUGAGAGGACGAUCAGCCACACUGGGACUGAGACACGGCCCAGACUCCUACGGGAGGCAGCAGUGGGGAAUCUUGCGCAAUGGGCGAAAGCCUGACGCAGCAACGCCGCGUGCGGGAUGACGGCUUUCGGGUUGUAAACCGCUUUCAGGAGGGACGAAAAUGACGGUACCUCCAGAAGAAGCCCCGGCCAACUACGUGCCAGCAGCCGCGGUAACACGUAGGGGGCGAGCGUUGUCCGGAUUUAUUGGGCGUAAAGAGCUCGUAGGCGGUUCGGCAAGUCGGGUGUGAAAUUUCGAGGCUCAACCUCGAAACGCCACUCGAUACUGCUGUGACUGGAGUCCGGUAGAGGAGUGCGGAAUUCCUGGUGUAGCGGUGAAAUGCGCAGAUAUCAGGAGGAACACCAACGGCGAAGGCAGCACUCUGGGCCGGUACUGACGCUGAGGAGCGAAAGCGUGGGGAGCAAACAGGAUUAGAUACCCUAGUAGUCC